GCGGGAAUAGCUCAGUUGGUAGAGCACGACCUUGCCAAGGUCGGGGUCGCGAGUUCGAGCCUCGUUUCCCGCUCCAUUU
RNAcentral lists this transfer RNA (79 nucleotides) under Actinobacillus pleuropneumoniae serovar 3 str. JL03. RNAcentral's name for it is "tRNA-Gly". It matches the Rfam family "tRNA". Rfam says of the family: Transfer RNA (tRNA) molecules are approximately 80 nucleotides in length. Lineage: Bacteria; Pseudomonadati; Pseudomonadota; Gammaproteobacteria; Pasteurellales; Pasteurellaceae. The record is from RNAcentral.